AUGGGGAACCUUUGUGUGUGCAUGGGCGGCUCCGCCAAGUGCGCCAGCGCGUCCACCCCCUUCCAAUCAAAGGUGAACCCGAGGAGCAGCACCUCCAACUCCAACUCCAAGGCGUCGCGCCGGAGCAGCUCCGGCCCGGAGAAGCCGGCGGAGGCGCCGACGACGGCGGGGGAGGCGCAGGCGGUGCCGCCGGCGUCGCUCAAGUCGUUCAGCAUGGCGGACCUGCGGGCGGCCACCAAGAACUUCGGCUCCACGUCCUACCACGGGGAGGGCGGAUUCGGGUGCGUCUACAAGGGGUGGAUCGACGAGGCCACGCUCGCCCCCGCCAGGCCCGGCGCCACCAACGCCAUGAUGGUGGCCAUCAAGAAGCUCAAGAAGGAGAGCUUCCAGGGCCACCGGGAGUGGCUCACCGAGGUCACCUACCUCGGCGACCUCCACCAUGAGAACCUGGUGAAGCUCGUCGGCUACUGCUCCGACUCCGACAGCAACUAG
RNAcentral lists this ribosomal RNA (492 nucleotides) under Triticum aestivum (bread wheat). Its description in RNAcentral is "partial small subunit ribosomal RNA". Lineage: Eukaryota; Viridiplantae; Streptophyta; Magnoliopsida; Poales; Poaceae. The record is from RNAcentral.